This 436-nucleotide long non-coding RNA is filed under the name Mus musculus (house mouse). RNAcentral describes it as "predicted gene 29215". Lineage: Eukaryota; Metazoa; Chordata; Mammalia; Rodentia; Muridae. The record is from RNAcentral.
GGCCUUGCUCUUAUGUCAUCUGACUAAAGGUUUCAUAGACCAAAGAUAACCAUCCAACUUGUUGGAAUACUGAAACAAUUGCUGCCUGUUGUCCACACACCACUUAAAUAUGUGGAUUUCCUAAAUUCUGCAAAAAAGGUUUGGAAGCUGAUCAAGCAAUACUGGAACUCCCUCUUCUCCAGAAGAGACAUCCUGGCCUCCAUGCAAAGAAAUGUGUAGAUGGACAUAUAUUUAAGGAAGACACUAAACCAGAAACUACUACAUUACACCCUCUUAGAAGACUUCUAAGAUUGUUGUCAUGCCUACAACAGACAUUCAGAUGAUGUGUAUUGUUGAUUGUGAUUUCAUAUUUGGACCUGAUGAAGGAGUUUGAAGUCUCCAGAGCAGCAAAGAGAGUGGGGAGUAGAACUAUUCAUCUUUAGGUCACUCAUCAUCG